AACGAACGCUGGCGGCAUGCCUAACACAUGCAAGUCGAACGAGACCUUCGGGUCUAGUGGCGCACGGGUGCGUAACGCGUGGGAAUCUGCCCUUGGGUCCGGAAUAACAGUUGGAAACGACUGCUAAUACCGGAUGAUGACGUAAGUCCAAAGAUUUAUCGCCCAAGGAUGAGCCCGCGUAGGAUUAGCUAGUUGGUGAGGUAAAGGCUCACCAAGGCGACGAUCCUUAGCUGGUCUGAGAGGAUGAUCAGCCACACUGGGACUGAGACACGGCCCAGACUCCUACGGGAGGCAGCAGUGGGGAAUAUUGGACAAUGGGCGAAAGCCUGAUCCAGCAAUGCCGCGUGAGUGAUGAAGGCCUUAGGGUUGUAAAGCUCUUUUACCCGGGAUGAUAAUGACAGUACCGGGAGAAUAAGCUCCGGCUAACUCCGUG
This 433-nucleotide ribosomal RNA is filed under the name uncultured bacterium. RNAcentral's name for it is "partial 16S ribosomal RNA". It matches the Rfam family "Bacterial small subunit ribosomal RNA", at positions 29 to 507 of the family's 1533-position model. The record is from RNAcentral.